RNAcentral lists this ribosomal RNA (466 nucleotides) under uncultured bacterium. Its description in RNAcentral is "partial 16S ribosomal RNA". It matches the Rfam family "Bacterial small subunit ribosomal RNA", at positions 28 to 507 of the family's 1533-position model. The record is from RNAcentral.
GACGAACGCUGGCGGCGCGCCUAACACAUGCAAGUCGAACGAGCGAGAGGGAGCUUGCUUUCUUGAGCGAGUGGCGAACGGGUGAGUAACGCGUGAGGAACCUGCCUCAAAGAGGGGGACAACAGUUGGAAACGACUGCUAAUACCGCAUAAGCCCACGACCCGGCAUCGGGUUGAGGGAAAAGGAGCAAUCCGCUUUGAGAUGGCCUCGCGUCCGAUUAGCUAGUUGGUGAGGUAACGGCCCACCAAGGCGACGAUCGGUAGCCGGACUGAGAGGUUGAACGGCCACAUUGGGACUGAGACACGGCCCAGACUCCUACGGGAGGCAGCAGUGGGGAAUAUUGCACAAUGGGGGAAACCCUGAUGCAGCGACGCCGCGUGGAGGAAGAAGGUCUUCGGAUUGUAAACUCCUGUUGUUGAGGAAGAUAAUGACGGUACUCAACAAGGAAGUGACGGCUAACUACGUG